RNAcentral lists this ribosomal RNA (253 nucleotides) under uncultured prokaryote. RNAcentral's name for it is "partial 16S ribosomal RNA". It matches the Rfam family "Bacterial small subunit ribosomal RNA", at positions 524 to 776 of the family's 1533-position model. The record is from RNAcentral.
UACAGAGGUCUCAAGCGUUGUUCGGAUUCAUUGGGCGUAAAGGGUGCGUAGGCGGCGCGGUAAGUCGGAUGUGAAAUCUCGGAGCUUAACUCCGAAACUGCAUUCGAUACUGCCGUGCUUGAGGACUGGAGAGGAGACUGGAAUUUACGGUGUAGCGGUGAAAUGCGUAGAUAUCCGCAGGAACAUCCGAGGCGAAAGCGGCUUGCUGGAUCGCAACUGACGCUGAGGGACGAAAGCUAGGGGAGCAAACAGG